Ribosomal RNA from Cavia aperea (Brazilian guinea pig), 138 nucleotides. The record is from Ensembl. Lineage: Eukaryota; Metazoa; Chordata; Mammalia; Rodentia; Caviidae.
UCCUAUGGCCACACCCCACUGACCCUGCCUGACCUCCUCUGAUCUUAGAAGCUAAGCGGGGUCCGGCCUGGUUAGGACUUGGAUGGGAGAGAUGGCACACUUUCCCCCUCUCCUACCACUGGCUCCACUCCAUCGAAU